Molecule: ribosomal RNA, 509 nt
Filed under: Orthoderella ornata
Lineage: Eukaryota; Metazoa; Arthropoda; Insecta; Mantodea; Mantidae
Description: partial 16S ribosomal RNA
Rfam family: Bacterial large subunit ribosomal RNA
Source: RNAcentral
GGUUUCUUGAUAAAUAUAAGAGAUUUAACCUGCCCACUGAUUUAAAUUGAAGGGCCGCAGUAUUUUGACUGUGCAAAGGUAGCAUAAUCAUUAGUCUUCUAAUUAAAGGCUGGUAUGAAUGGUUGGACGAGGUAAAUACUGUUUUAUAUUAAUAAGUUGAAUUUUUAUUUUAAGUAAAAAGACUUAAAUGUAAUUAAGGGACGAGAAGACCCUAUAGAGUUUAAUACGUGUAAUUUUAACUGAGUUUGUAAGGAAUUUUUGGUUAUUAGAAAACUUAUUUGGUUGGGGUGACAAAAGGAUAAUUGAAACUCCUUUUUGAGUUGAAUAUUAAUAAGUAGUUAUUUGAUCCAUAAUUAAUGAUAAAAGAAUAAAUUACCUUAGGGAUAACAGCAUAAUUUUUUUUGAGAGUUCUUAUCGAGAAAAAAGAUUGUGACCUCGAUGUUGGAUUAAGAUAAAUUUUGGGUGUAGAUGUUCAAAUAUUAGGUCUGUUCGACCUAUAAAAUCUUACA